Molecule: ribosomal RNA, 373 nt
Filed under: uncultured organism
Description: partial 16S ribosomal RNA
Rfam family: Bacterial small subunit ribosomal RNA
Source: RNAcentral
GUAGGUGGCAAGCGUUGUCCGGAAUUAUUGGGCGUAAAGCGCGCGCAGGCGGUUCUUUAAGUCUGAUGUGAAAGCCCACGGCUCAACCGUGGAGGGUCAUUGGAAACUGGAGAACUUGAGUACGGAAGAGGAAAGCGGAAUUCCACGUGUAGCGGUGAAAUGCGUAGAGAUGUGGAGGAACACCAGUGGCGAAGGCGGCCUUCUGGUCUGUAACUGACGCUGAGGCGCGAAAGCGUGGGGAGCAAACAGGGAUUAGAUACCCUGGUAGUCCACGCCGUAAACGAUGAGUGCUAAGUGUUAGGGGGUUUCCCGCCCCUUAGUGCUGCAGCUAACGCAUUAAGCACUCCGCCUGGGGAGUACGGCCGCAAGGCUG